GACGAACGCUGGCGGCGUGCUUAACACAUGCAAGUCGAACGAAGAGCGAUGGAAGCUUGCUUCUAUCAAUCUUAGUGGCGAACGGGUGAGUAACGCGUAAUCAACCUGCCCUUCAGAGGGGGACAACAGUUGGAAACGACUGCUAAUACCGCAUACGAUCUAAUCUCGGCAUCGAGGAUAGAUGAAAGGUGGCCUCUACAUGUAAGCUAUCACUGAAGGAGGGGAUUGCGUCUGAUUAGCUAGUUGGAGGGGUAACGGCCCACCAAGGCGAUGAUCAGUAGCCGGUCUGAGAGGAUGAACGGCCACAUUGGGACUGAGACACGGCCCAGACUCCUACGGGAGGCAGCAGUGGGGAAUCUUCCGCAAUGGACGAAAGUCUGACGGAGCAACGCCGCGUGAGUGAUGACGGCCUUCGGGUUGUAAAGCUCUGUUAAUUGGGACGAAAGGCCUUCUUGCGAAUAGUUAGGAGGA
Molecule: ribosomal RNA, 471 nt
Filed under: Veillonella parvula
Lineage: Bacteria; Bacillati; Bacillota; Negativicutes; Veillonellales; Veillonellaceae
Description: bacterial SSU rRNA
Rfam family: Bacterial small subunit ribosomal RNA
Source: RNAcentral